AACGCUAGCUACAGGCUUAACACAUGCAAGUCGAGGGGCAGCAUGGUCUUAGCUUGCUAAGGCCGAUGGCGACCGGCGCACGGGCGAGUAACACGUAUCCAACCUGCCGUCUACUCUUGGACAGCCUUCUGAAAGGAAGAUUAAUACAAGAUGGCAUCAUGAGUCCGCAUGUUCACAUGAUUAAAGGUAUUCCGGUAGACGAUGGGGAUGCGUUCCAUUAGAUAGUAGGCGGGGUAACGGCCCACCUAGUCUUCGAUGGAUAGGGGUUCUGAGAGGAAGGUCCCCCACAUUGGAACUGAGACACGGUUCAAACUCCUACGGGAGGCAGCAGUGAGGAAUAUUGGUCAAUGGGCGAGAGCCUGAACCAGCCAAGUAGCGUGAAGGAUGACUGCCCUAUGGGUUGUAAACUUCUUUUAUAAAGGAAUAAAGUCGGGUAUGGAUACCCGUUUGCAUGUACUUUAUGAAUAAGGAUCGGCUAACUCCGUGCCAGCAGCCGCGGUAAUACGGAGGAUCCGAGCGUUAUCCGGAUUUAUUGGGUUUAAAGGGAGCGUAGGCGGACGCUUAAGUCAGUUGUGAAAGUUUGCGGCUCAACCGUAAAAUUGCAGUUGAUACUGGGUGUCUUGAGUACAGUAGAGGCAGGCGGAAUUCGUGGUGUAGCGGUGAAAUGCUUAGAUAUCACGAAGAACUCCGAUUGCGAAGGCAGCCUGCUGGACUGUAACUGACGCUGAUGCUCGAAAGUGUGGGUAUCAAACAGGAUUAGAUACCCUGGUAGUCCACACAGUAAACGAUGAAUACUCGCUGUUUGCGAUAUACAGUAAGCGGCCAAGCGAAAGCGUUAAGUAUUCCACCUGGGGAGUACGCCGGCAACGGUGAAACUCAAAGGAAUUGACGGGGGCCCGCACAAGCGGAGGAACAUGUGGUUUAAUUCGAUGAUACGCGAGGAACCUUACCCGGGCUUGAAUUGCAACUGAAUGAUGUGGAGACAUGUCAGCCGCAAGGCAGUUGUGAAGGUGCUGCAUGGUUGUCGUCAGCUCGUGCCGUGAGGUGUCGGCUUAAGUGC
RNAcentral lists this ribosomal RNA (1060 nucleotides) under uncultured Bacteroidales bacterium. Its description in RNAcentral is "bacterial SSU rRNA". It matches the Rfam family "Bacterial small subunit ribosomal RNA", at positions 32 to 1087 of the family's 1533-position model. Lineage: Bacteria; Pseudomonadati; Bacteroidota; Bacteroidia; Bacteroidales. The record is from RNAcentral.